This 21-nucleotide microRNA is filed under the name Caenorhabditis briggsae. Its description in RNAcentral is "cbr-miR-355". Its record names the gene cbr-miR-355. RNAcentral also lists the same sequence under 2 other names. The record is from miRBase by way of RNAcentral. Lineage: Eukaryota; Metazoa; Nematoda; Chromadorea; Rhabditida; Rhabditidae.
UUUGUUUUAGCCUGAGCUAUG